GCUUGGUUCUGCAUGCUACUUCCAUAUCCUGAAGUCAGAGCAUGCAUUUGCUGGGUCCAACGGGAAGUUUGGUUUCUCUCUCUGGAAGGUGUUCUGCACCAGGAGGUGCCUCCACCCACAGUUUUCCAGAUGGACUCAUUGAAUUUCCUCAUUUACAACACCUCUGAUGUGAUUACCACCAGCAGGAACAGCGGCAAGCGACACAGACAAGGGCCUGCUCAUCAAUCAAGGCCUGGAGUUAGGUGUUUGCUCCCCAUCCCUGGUCACAUGCUCUGCUCUCCGGAUGCCACUGGAACUCAGGAGCCAGAGCAAGUGAGGCUGAGGUCCAAGUCCUAUGAUGGGCAGGUAGAGAUGAACCAUAUUUCCAGCUUGUCCCCUGUCCUGGGGUUAGUUGGACCAGGCUGUGCUCUCUGCCCUCCCCAAGAGUGGGCCUCCCAAGCUUGCCCUUGGCCCGCAGAGCUUCCAGAAUCAAGCCGAAUCCAGCUGGAUUGGACAGCAGCUCUAUUCCUCCAGUUUUGUGACUUUGAACAGGCCAUUUAACCCAGGGGCUAGCCGUCAUUUCCUACCAAGCGCUAGAAAGGAAAUAUUUCAGGGGUUUGUGGCCACCAUCCCUGUCGCAGCUAUUCAGUUCUGCUCGUGCAGCAAGAAACCCAUAAAUGAUACCCAAACUAAUGGGUAUGGCUGUGUACCAAUAAAACUUUAUUUAUACAAACAGGAA
RNAcentral lists this long non-coding RNA (718 nucleotides) under Chinchilla lanigera (long-tailed chinchilla). RNAcentral describes it as "lncRNA (ENSCLAG00000025884.1)". The record is from RNAcentral. Lineage: Eukaryota; Metazoa; Chordata; Mammalia; Rodentia; Chinchillidae.